AAGAAGGAAAAAGAAAAAUAGUACAAACUGAGUGUUAUGGUACAUGGCUGGAAUCAUAACACCAAGGAAUUUUGCACUUUUCUUUUUAUAAAUUUACAUUGUGUGUGUGUGUGUGUAUGUGUGCACAUGUGUGUAUGCACUUGCCUGUGUGUGCUCACCCAUGUAAACAUACAUGCAAAUGACCAGAAGAGGCUGUGGAUCCCCUAGAGCUGGAAUUACAGUUGUAAGCUGCUUGACAUGGGAGCUGGCAACCAAACUGGUGUCCUCUACAAGAGAUACAUACUCUCCUAACCACUGAGCCUCCCAGCCCACACUCCAAGUGAGGGUACACAGUGUUUCUUCUUGUGUCACAGGAAAGGACCAAUGCUGAGUGUUUCAGACCCACAAAAGCCAGAAAUGUCAUGAUUCAGCCUCAUAGUUGCAAAUCUAAGCUGUCCUCUCUUCAGCUAUGUAUGUGUGUGUGUAUGUAUGUAUGUAUAUGUGGCUUUUUUAUGAAACCUAUCUUUAAUUGGAAAAGUCUCAUCUUUGUGUCUUUAUUCUUAUGAGCUUGCACCCAUGAAGGAAGAGUGGGACCAGGCAAAAAUGAGUGAGAAGACAAAACACACGAUGGGAUGAGUUACACAGAUAAAGUGAAAUAAGGACAUGAGCCUAUGAAAUAAGCUGGAGAGACGGCCCGGCAGCUAAGGGCACUGGGUGUUCUUUCAGAAGACCCAGGUUUGGUUCCCCCCCUCAAGACAUGACAGCUUCCAGCCAUCUGUAACCCUAGUUCUAUUGGAUCACAUGCCCUCCUCUGACCUCCAUGGGCUCUGCGUGCAUUCAGUGCACAGAUAUGUGCAGGCAAACAGCUGUACACAUAAAAUAAAGAUUUGAAUCAAAGCCAGAAAUCCCUUUAAUCCCAGCUCUUGGGAGACAGAGGCAGGGGGAUCUCUGUGAGUUUGAGGACAGGCUAGUCUAUAUAGAGAAUUCAAAGACAGGAAUAUGUAGAGAGAUGUAUGUAUGUAGUCUCAAACAAAACAAAAUAGAAUUUAUUUUUAAGAUUUAUUAUAUGUAAGUACACUGUAACUGUCUUCAGACACAACAGAAGAGGGCAUCAGAUCUCAUUACAGAUGGUUGUGAGCCACCAUGUGGUUGCUGGGAUUUGAACUCAGGACCUCGGGUAAGAGCAGUCAGUGCUCUUAACCACUGAGCCACCUCUCCAGCCCCAAAAUAGAGUUUUUAAUUUAAAAUAUUUUUGAAUUAAUAGGAAGAG
Molecule: long non-coding RNA, 1249 nt
Filed under: Mus musculus (house mouse)
Lineage: Eukaryota; Metazoa; Chordata; Mammalia; Rodentia; Muridae
Description: long non-coding RNA chr1:87687355-87688604
Source: RNAcentral